This is a long non-coding RNA of Falco peregrinus (peregrine falcon), 1805 nucleotides long. RefSeq lists it as uncharacterized. The record is from RefSeq and is a predicted model, not a curated record. NCBI's taxonomy places the organism in Eukaryota, Metazoa, Chordata, Aves, Falconiformes, Falconidae. The transcript is spliced from 2 exons.
UCUCUCUGUUUUAAUUGUGCUGUAAUUAGAACGAUCCAAGCUAACAAUAUUUUUUUUAAAGUGCGCUAGUAUCAUCAGCAAGAAGCUGGGGGGGGAGAGCAAAACCCGAGGAAAGGCUUUGGGAUGGGGCGGGGACCUGGGGAGGUUCCUGAGGCAAGGGGUAUCCCUAGGCCGGAGGGUCCCUGGGGCAAAGGCGGGGUCCCUGGCAGGGGUGUCUCUGGGGCAGGGAGUCCCUGGGCAGGGGUCCCUGGACAAGGGGAGCGUGGAGCCGCGGGCCGGGGGCGCGUUGCUGGGGCUGCACCGCCCCGCCGUGGCCGCGGCCACCCCUGCAGCUCCGCCGCUGCCCCUGGAUGGAGCCUGGAGGCAGAAGGCCCCGUAGGUCCCCACCAAGGGGUUGUCACCCGAGCGGUGGCCCCUGAGGAGCGACGGGGAGAGAGGUGCCCCCUACAAGCAAGUCGGGGUCCCGCGGGGGGUGCGGCGCGGCUGCCACCGCGUCCUUUUCUGCCCCACUGCGACCAUGGUCCGGUUCUGUCGGGUCAGGCAAUUCUCCGUGAGCCAGGAAACAUCACACCACCCAAUAUUGCUGGGACACCCCCACGCUGGCUGCUGGGUGCAGCUCCCCAGGCCCCUCAGAGCGCCCUUCCUCCCCACACCCCAGAGCACGAAGAGGAGGAGGAGGAUAGAAAUGGCUUCUGCACAACCACCAGCUCUGCAGAGCACCAGCCCCAGCGUGCGAAGAGGGCAGGAGGGUGAAAGCAGCAGAGGAAACCACCAGCAGAAGACAAGAGGUACCAGGGGAUGUUACUCCCGGCCCCUCUUGCCAAGUUGCUCUGCUUAAACUGAGCCAGAGAUGCAGGGUGGCUGCCUACCUCCAACUUGUUGCCAGAGGAUGGAGGCUGCAGGUGCUAUGAGUUUGUGUGGGCUCUGAAGAGGUUUAGAUGUGCUCAAAGAGGAGAAGGGGCAGAAUCCAAAGAGCCAAAACGCCAGAGCCCAUGAGGAUGGUGGCAGUGAGAAGCAGUGACAGACAGGGGGUCACUCCACUCUUCGUUUUCCACAUCUAUCUGUUGUUGCUCAGAGCAGGCGCAGCUGCCCUCAGCCAACACGGGGAGGCUGCUCUUAAAUAAAAUAAAGAGGCAAAAAGAUGUGGGGGUGGCACUCUGUCAUGCUGGAAGCAAACACAAAGCCAGAUUCCAAAGUUCUGUAUUUUUCAAAAUAAAGAUCACACAUUGUUUAGAGACAAUCUACACAAGAGUUACAAAAAAUAGUCGCCCAGGCAUAAGCAUACACAGGUUUGUUAAUUAUACACAUAUGGUUACAAGUGUGCUUGCAAAAAAGUUCAUUGGAAAUAUACACAAGGCUCUGUAAAUGUACACCGCGUAGUGUUACAAUUCUAUAUUCAAACAAGGAAAAUUGACAGUAUGUUACAUUCACUUACAAGUAGACAAAAUGCAAAAUACAGUUCAUCUUCUGUACAAAAAGGGAAGGUGAUUCACACUUUACAAGGUGAAAAGGGACUCUGAUUGUAAGGAAAACUAGGGGAUCCUGUACUUUUGCACUUUUUGUUUCUUACUGUCACAAAAUAAGCAAAACAUUACUUUUUAAGAGUCAAAAAAACACUAUUUUGAACUGAAUAAUUUUUGUAUAACAUUUAGAAAGGAUUGCUACUGUUCAACUAGGUGACAAAUAAAACCAAGCAUUUAUUUUUUUUUUAAACAUUAACUAGGCUGUAUAAAGAGAACAUUUCCUUCAAAAGAAAAAAUUUACUUCUGGUUGAAAUUACAAUUUACAAUAUACAACACUAUAUG